Molecule: non-coding RNA, 863 nt
Organism: Paramisgurnus dabryanus
Lineage: Eukaryota; Metazoa; Chordata; Actinopteri; Cypriniformes; Cobitidae
Source: RefSeq, a predicted model, not a curated record
CUAAGACAAAAUUAAAACCCAAAAUUGUUUACUUACAGCUAGACAUCAAUUAAUUAACUAUUCAUUUUGCUUAUAACUUAAGUAGUGGUGUUGUUGUGGUUAAAAAGUCUGCGUUACAAUAAAAUAAAAAAUGAAUAUAGCCUACUUCUUAUAUAGGCUUGUAGUAGUCUACAGUAUGAAAUAAGGAUAUAGGUUAUUGGGAUGUGCAUCUUAUAAAUGAGUCAAUCUUCCGUUACAAUGACUGGACCAGAGUCAAAUUGUGCGUUUAACUGUAACCAAAUCUAACAUCUGAAUAGAUGCUUUCAUAUGAGAAACCUUUUAUACGGUUAGACCAACAGCUGAAAGAUGUCACUAUGCAUCAUUAUAGAAAACUGACGGACCCACACUGUGACAGUCUGGGUGACAAAAAUAAAUACGUAAAUAGGAGAGGAACGAGUAUAUUUUAACGCGCGCCUCUAAAUUGUUAAAAGAGGCAUGACGUUUCCUUGUGCCUUGGGCAGUUGGCCUGGGUACACCCCAGGUGCUUCAAGGCAAAAUUUUCCCGUGGUAUCCACUUGUGAUCUAUGUACCCAGUUGUCUCUACGUCAGCUCUCGCAGUUAUUAAGAGGUAGCCCAAACACAUGGCCAUCUCCACAUAUCCAACUCGUCAUGAGCGCUUGGAGGCUAAAUUCACGGAUAUACUGGCAUCACAGGUUGCCUAUGGGAGUCAAAUUUACUAACCACAAGAAAAGGAAAGCAUUUUUUCUUCUUUUACUCUUCAGGAUGAGGUUCAUUGGCCUUUUCUUCAUUGGCUGGACUUCAGCAUCUAUAUGUGGCUAAGUGCAGAGGGAAAUUAAGAGUAAAAAAAUCAUUAAAAAAAAAAA